Engraulis encrasicolus (European anchovy) is the source of this 128-nucleotide small nucleolar RNA. RefSeq annotates it as small nucleolar RNA SNORA71. The transcript has a single exon. The record is from RefSeq and is a predicted model, not a curated record. Lineage: Eukaryota; Metazoa; Chordata; Actinopteri; Clupeiformes; Engraulidae.
CCCUGUAUCGAAAGUGAUUAAGGCAUGCCUGUUGCCUGGUCAUUGAUAACGCAGGAAGAGGGAAUCGAAAGUCUUUUCCCGUGUUUGCUGGAACAUCAGUUUCCCCCAAACCCUGUAUCUUUCAAACA